GCUCCGAGUUCUGGCUCAGCUCCUGGAACUAGCUGGGUGCCAGCGGCGUUCCGGAGAGUCCAGCCAGCUCCAGGCGUCUGGGCGCUUCGAGUCUUUGAUCUUCAGAACCUGGCAGCCUCUGCUGCUCCACUCUCCUCCCGGAAACCACCCAAAAGAUUAACUUCUGAAGCCCUCAGGGCAGAGGGAGGAGAAAGGGUGGGAAAAGGCGCACCGACCAGCCAUUGGGAAGGCUGCAGAGGAGGGAGGCCAGGCUCCCGAGGGCAGCGUCACGCUACGCUCCGUACUCAGCGUCCCUUGUAGGGCCUGACACCUCUAUGAACCUGGGAUCAUGAAUGAAUUCUUGACUCUUAGAGGGUAUGGAGAAGCAAGAAGGAAGGAGAUGAGAUAGGCGAGGAGGGAAGCGGGGCUAUUCUUAAGGUUAAACUGAAAGCGAGCUUUUUAUUGAAUCUAAGAAUAUCUGAGAAGAAAAACGAAAAGAAAGAAAAGAAAAGCAAGCAGACACGGAGGGACCAGAUGGAACCAACUAAGCUGGCUUCUUGCAAGACUCAGUUACCACAUGGUACAACAUCUGAGACUAACUCCACUGAUGGCUAGAUAAGCAAAAUGAGGCUGAAAAAAAUGACAGCUCACAUGGCACCUUCUGAGGACUUACACCUCUACAGCAAAUGUAAUGUUUUAUAAUAUUUCAUUUGUUCCAUGGACAGUUUAUUUUAUUAUUUUUUUGUUUAACAGGAGAUAAGAAAGUCUUUAUUGAUGAGGGAAAAAUAAGCUUUGCUGGUCAUGCGCAGGACGAGGUCAGUCGGUGAGCAUCUCCACUAGCUCAUCACUCUCCCUGUCAUUCUUCCUGUCACUCACUGGCUGAUUCUGCAGGCUCCGCCUCUUCGCUGGGCUUCCUGCCUCAUGCAGAGGGCGAUGAUAACAGCGAUCAGUAUCACAUCCAGGGCUGCUAAUGCCCCGAUGGUGCAUUUGUAUAUAUACAUGCCUUCAAGAACAUGUUCUCUGAACGUCUGAAGUGUCUGCUGUCCCUUCUGCUUGCCGUGGGCUUCUGUCCCCUCCAUGACCAUGGGGUCAGAAUACAGCUGCUGCUGCUCCCACUGGGCCUGGGACACCAUGGCCUCCUGCUGCUCAGUCAGAAGCAUCAGCAGGUGGUGAGAUUUGGAGAUGAGCUUGGCACAGGCGGGGCCCACGGGGGGCUCAGCGCAGUCCAUUUUCAAAAUGCUGAUGACCUGGGUGAUGAGCCUUCUCAGGUUGUCGUCAGGGAUGAGUGGCUGCAGCAAGUGAUUCAGCCCUGUUUCUAACCCAACCCCCAGGGACGGCAGCACUGGGGAGGUGAUGUGUGUGGGCAUCGAGGCCAAGCCCGAGGCAGAGUCUGCAGCAGACACACGAAGGUCCCCUGAUGCUGAUGGGAAGCCACCUGGAGGGGAGUCCAUGAAGCUCCUCAGUGCCUGGAACCCAGGCCUCUUUGCUGGGCUCAGGCCGCUGCGUGUAUUUCCCUUGGUGAGCUGUGCCCUCAGGUUGGCCUGGGCUGUUCCGAGGGACACAGGGAAGACAGUUCUAGCCAAGCGACAACUCUUUUGUGACUGCCAGGCAGGUGGAGUUGCCUUCAUUCUUAGCACUCUGUCCUGCCCAUGGUUUAGAAACCAUAUGCUGUGGGUGAAGUCUUUCCCUCUGCUUCUCACCACAGGCCGGGCUCUGGAGGUGGGGGACCUGCUCAGCCAGGGAGCCAGCAGGGAGGAAGGGGUGGCCGCCCUCUGUCCCUCUGUGAGGAUGGAGAAUCUGGCUGGGUUCCUGGGCCUGGGGGCCCUCAUGAUGCUGCUCCAGCUCCGUGGCACUGGGGUCCCCGAGGCUGCUUGUGCAAGGGGCCAGGUGACCUCCCUGUCCCUGACCUGCUGCUUCCUCCUGUCCUGCAGCAGCCUUUUACCUGUGCCCUUCAGGCCCCUGAGGCCCCUGUCCACUGUGCGCAGCCUUCUUCCUCUCAGGGCCUCCGCCAUGCUGUUUUCCUGUGUUGGAGCCCUUCCCAGUGUUCUAGAUAUUUGGGGCUCCAAGGUGGGACCCAAAAGGGUGGGCUGUAUACCUCUGACAGUGUCUUCUUCCUUCUUAACCUCCUCCAUUUUUUUCUGAAUUUCUACAUUUAACCAAUUUCUGAGCAAAUACAGCUCUUCCAAUUUAUUGUUGUUGGAUUCAUGGAUAAAGGAGGACUUCUUUAUAUCCUUUUUUAAAGAAUCUGUGUUAUCUCCAUGAAACACAUUUGGAAAAACCCUUGCAAUGAGUGGGAGUAGAGCUGACUGCACAGCCUCUGGGUUUCCCUCUGAGAGAUAGGGCACCAUGUAGCUGAGGGCGUCAAUCACGUCACUUUGGUCAUGAAACUUGAGCUGGUCGCUCAUGAUGCCUGACCAGGGGGCCACACUUUGCUGAGAAGACAACGUCUAAGGCUCAAUGCUCAGCUGGGUGCUGGUGCUGUUGUUCUGGGCCUGCAGGGCCUUCAUGAGCAUCCCAUCCAUGUUCCCCAUGGCUGCUGCCUCAAGGCACUGCAUGGUGUUGGACAGACAGGCGCCGUCACAGUGCAGCUAGACUAUCGGGCACACAACCUCGAUAUCACUCUUAAUUUGGCAGAGGCAGCAGGCCGUGUGGCUCGGCAAGAUCAGUUUUUGCAACUCCAGAGUCAUGGUGAGGAUGUUCUCCAGCACUGCAGGGGGCACGUGUGUUGCUCCCAAGUCUAGGUGUUUUAAUGCUGGUAAUUUACAAAAAGAUGGAUCUUCGAUAGUUGUCAGAGGGUUAUUGUUGAGGACUACUUGAUGUAAAAACUGCAUCCCGUGCCAUGCAUGAAAUGUUCCAUAGCUGAUCUGAGAAACAAAAUUGCAACAAAGAUUUAAGUACUGCAGGGAGGAG
Molecule: long non-coding RNA, 2889 nt
Organism: Heterocephalus glaber (naked mole-rat)
Lineage: Eukaryota; Metazoa; Chordata; Mammalia; Rodentia; Bathyergidae
Source: Ensembl